AGGCUCGUUUGCGUCGGAGCAUUUCAUCUUGUGUGGACCUCGAGACCUCCUGAUCACGGAUACAAAUCCAGGGAGGAUCACUCACCCACAGCCCACCGAGCACCGACAGCUUGGCCAGAUGGGGUGGGAUUUAUCGAUCUGAUCCACGCGCUCACCUGUUUCUGAAAGCUCCACGCAAACACAUGUGUCCUGCGCACCUGGAGCCUGGAGGAUGCUGCCGACGCGCCUUCUUCACCAGCACAUGUGGAUGUUUUGGUGUCCAUGCAGCCUACGUGGGGCAUCUCCCACGGUGCAUAGUGGGGCUUUUCGGAUCCAGUGGUCCUAACCUCGUGGAUCCUCAGACUUUUUACCUUUUGCUGUUAGAUUAAAUACCGGAGCCUGUUCCUGUCUUUGGUUAUCUAGCUGUAUGAGUGUUAAUCAUCCAUCAUAAAGCUAGAUAACCGAAAGUAGGAAUGACCUCCAAGCCAUCACCUUCUUGCAUUAAAGUGACGCCACGAGAAGAAAAACACAAAGGCAAAGACAACAGGAUGAGUUGUGUUAUCAGGAAGAGGCCAUAAAGAGGCAGCUGCAGAUGAUCUUCAGAGCUGAUGCCGGAGUUUUAAUCACAGUGAUUCACACACCAUUAAGUGACAUUUUGCUUCUGUGUAAUAUUAGACCACAGUAAUGAUGUACUGCCAAUUUGAAAAGAAUCAAUUUUGGGAAAUUAGAAAUUUAUAAGGUAUUUUGAAUGAAAUAUGAAAUGUAUUUUUUACUGUCUUCCUCUUGCUGUUUUGGGAAAAAAAAUAAUUUGUUUCUUGUGUUUGUUGUUUUGUUUUUUAUUAUAGUGUUUAGAUGUUAUUUUUUCAUUUAACUAAAACCAUAAGCCUUCAAAUGUAAUUUUUCUGGAUGCAAUAAAAAACGAAAUAAUGAAAGGUUACAGUGUUUAUUCACAACCACGUCGCUAAUUUAUUCACAUGACAUUUUAAGUGAU
Long non-coding RNA from Sphaeramia orbicularis (orbiculate cardinalfish), 970 nucleotides. RefSeq lists it as uncharacterized. Lineage: Eukaryota; Metazoa; Chordata; Actinopteri; Kurtiformes; Apogonidae. The record is from RefSeq and is a predicted model, not a curated record. The transcript has 3 exons.